CUGGUGACUAUGGAAAAUGAAAGCAAGUUCACGCUGACAAUGCCCGUAAAGAGCUUUGUGAAGCCAUGACAGUGCUCUUCAAUUUUAACAUGAAGAAGAGGGCAUGUGAGUUAGCAAGACUGGCCAGAGGCCAGAGCCCGGGGCCAGCAAACCUUUCCCUGCUGUGAGGUGGGCAAGUUAGUUGCUCCAAAAACAAGAUAAAAUGAUUGAGUUCUUUUCUCAAGCGGGAGUCGGAGUUUAUCUGCUCUGAGAGCCCCAGCAGCUACUAUUAAUGAGUGUCUGGAAUAUGUUCCUGGCAUUUCACCUACCCUCUCUCCAAUCCUUCCAAGAAACUCACAAAGCAGGGCUUUUUCUUGAACUUCUCUUCCUCACAACAGUUAAAUCAUCCAUUUAAAGAUGUCAAACAACCUCCGUGUUCUAAGGACACAGCAUGUACAACCUCACAUAGAGUUCCUGACCAGACAAGACUUGCUGGAAAUUUCCCAGGAUCUUCCUUCCUUAAGCAUCCAUCAUGGGAAGCCACCUUGCCCUAGGGAGAGCUCCUGACCUAGGGUCAGGAAUAUAUUAAGGAAGACAGCAAUUAAUACAUUCAAAAAUAAUAAUAAUUACAAAUUAUGUCUCUGUGUUAGGAAAACUUGGAUAAGCAGGUCCAUAGAAAUUCCUCUGCUAGCCCUGUCUCCUGGAAUUUCUACAUAAUGGCAUAUCCUCAGUUUGAAUAGCUCUCUGGUUCCAGUUUGAAGCUGAAAAGGUUAAAUUCUACCUGAAGGAUGAAAACAACCAACAUUCUGUGCCAAGACAGUCAGGAGGGCAACCAUGUUUCCUGGUGGAGCCUCUGGAACCACUCAAGCCAAGAUGACCGGGGGUUUGGCUGGGAGGAGAUGGGGAAACUACAGACCCUACAGAUGGUUUCCUGUACCAUGAGGUUAAGCCUGGGGGCAGGAGAGGCUGUACCUUAGUUCCUUCAUCUGUAAAAUAAAGUAACAUAGUACCUACCUCA
Molecule: long non-coding RNA, 997 nt
Filed under: Homo sapiens (human)
Lineage: Eukaryota; Metazoa; Chordata; Mammalia; Primates; Hominidae
Description: PREDICTED lncRNA (TCONS_00231784)
Source: RNAcentral